Dromaius novaehollandiae (emu) is the source of this 1557-nucleotide long non-coding RNA. RefSeq lists it as uncharacterized. The record is from RefSeq and is a predicted model, not a curated record. The transcript is spliced from 3 exons. NCBI's taxonomy places the organism in Eukaryota, Metazoa, Chordata, Aves, Casuariiformes, Dromaiidae.
CGGUUGGCCAAGAGCAUGUCCAGUGCCCUCUGGGAUCCGCUCUUUCCCUGAAUAUUGGAAGGACUCCCAAAAGAAAGGAAAUUUCUUUCUGCUUUAAAAAGCCUGAUCUAGCUUGUUGAAACACCAGUCUUACCAAAAAGCAGACUUUCUUGGCCGUGGAGGAAAGGGCUGACUUUGUUCCUGGUGGAGGUCGCAUUACAAUCUCUUGGAAGUUUAGCUAACUCCUGGUCUGAAGGAUGCGACAACGCUUCUCCUAGGAACCAGAGCCUCGGGGGAGAGGAGGCGGAGAGCAGCCGCUUCUCCUAACGUCGAUACUGCUUUCCGUAACGCGCCGUGAGCUUCAGGUCUCAAAAGUGACAGAAUUAGGGACAGCACAGAAAUCAAGUCUACAAAAGCUCAGAGCGGAGCCCUAGGACGGAGGAAGACUGCCGUGAAGCUGUGCUCCCCGAGGGCAGCGCGACCGGAGCGGGGCGGUGGGCAGGCUGGCUCGGGCGGGGGCCGGGAGCUGAACAUCUCCGUCCUUCAAAGCCGGCUCUGUGUGGGGAGCCAGGGCGGGGUGCAGAACCUCAGCUCUUCUGGUGCUGGUGCAGGUACCAAAUGAAGGGGGCACCUAUUCAUAGUGAAUUUGUCCAGCUUCUCGUGAUUGUCUGGGUAGAUAAAAGGAAAUGGAAAUUUGCCCAAUUAGCUGUUUCCACGUACAAUUAUCUGGUUUCCAUGCCUGAAGUAUGAUAACUGCAUGCCUAAAGCAGACAUCCAGCUUCACGCACGCUUGCAGUGCUCCAUCGAGUUCCUAACUUCUCUUGCAAAUGCAGCUUGCAGUGGGGAAUGUCAAAAACUCUUGUUAUCCAACACUGCAGAGUGGAUUAUUGAGCGUCUCUUGCACUCUGUAAAAUGAUGACAUUCACUAAUACCUUUCAACAUCUGCUGAAGGUAUUUGUCUAAAUAUACAUAUACAACACGAGGGGACAUUUUGCAGCAAUACCAAUUGAUGCAUUUUUCUAAACUUGUGUGUGCUGCUUUAAAGGGUUUAAUUUACCGUACAGUAUGAUAACGUCUCCGGCAAACUGGUCGGGGCUGUUCCUGCAGAAGAAGCAGGAAGUUUGAAGCAGGAAGCAUUUUUUCACUCUCAUGGUUUAUAUUGUCACCAGAAGUCCUUGAUAAAGCUAUAACUGCAUCUGUCAGGCAAGGAUUUUGUCAGCCCCAAAAGCUGUUAUUAGGAGACCCGUGAGAGGGGUCUGCUUUUCUACAAUAUUAAUAGCUAGCUACUGCACUAUGCUCCAGACAAAUAUUCUUCUUUUGUCCUGUAGGAAUGCAUGCACAUGUACUUUCCAGUUUAAUGUUAUAUGUAGUCUAAUCUGAAUGUUCUGCCUUCCUAAUCAGAUACAAACUGUGUUCGCUAAAACUGCAUUAAUAAAAACUUCAUUAUAAAAUGAUAAUAUCCCCUAACUUUGGAAGAACACUCUCAUGUUAAAAAAGUCCCAUGUAAGAAGUUUUCUCUUACCUAGUCUGGCAUAACACCAUCUCCGAUAAAUAAACUGAAAGAGGUUUACAUUUCAA